RNAcentral lists this long non-coding RNA (361 nucleotides) under Vitis vinifera (wine grape). RNAcentral describes it as "long non-coding RNA (VVIN_LNC005277)". Lineage: Eukaryota; Viridiplantae; Streptophyta; Magnoliopsida; Vitales; Vitaceae. The record is from RNAcentral.
UAAAGAGGAAGAUAUGGGCAGGCAUGUGUGAGUGGUGAUUUGCAUGGGAUUGGUGGCAUGGUGGAGAGAGAAAAUGAUACGGGUAUGAAGAGAUAUGGGGGUAGGAGAGGUGGACCAUCGGUAUGCUAGCGUCGCCAACUUCAAAAUACCCCACAGCACACUAGGAGAUGGAGUAGGACUCUACUGACCCUGUACCCACGCAGAAUUCUUCACCAGAAGCCACAUACCGCAACCAUGCUCAUCAACUCAAACCAUAACUCACCAUGUUCACGAUUCAUUCCGUUAAAAACAGAGAAAAAUGUGAAAAAGAGCAUUUACCAAACAGAGUUCAAAGACAAGAGAAGCAAUGAUUGGAGACCCA